CUCCAGGUGGGGGGGUCUCACAAGAGUGAAGUCAUAGGAUCACUUCUCUCAACCUGCUGGUCACACUCUUGUGAUGGGUAUGGUUGGCUUUUGGGCUGCAAAUGCUCGUUGCCAGGUCAUGUGGAGGCUCUCAUUUAUCCACAGAUCCGAUCCAAGUCCUUCUUCUCAGGGCUGCUCUGAAUCCCCUCUCUACCCAACCUGUACUUCUGCUUGAGAUGGCCUGGACUCAGGUGUGGGACCUUGCACUUGACCUUGUUUAUAUUCAUGAGGUUCACAUGGUCCCACCUUCCAGAUCUUUCAAACCUUUGUGGCAGAGACAGAAAGGUGUCAAAGAAAUAAGACUGAGCCUGAGAUCUGGAUAAAUCAUUGAUUUCUUUUUGCUGAACUGACCUUAUCUCGCUGAAUCUGGAAGGUAGAAAACCUGGUCAUGGAGAAAGAGCCUGAAUCUUCUCUGUAUUUUUAAUAUUUUCUGAAUAUUGUUUCAUAAAAUUGCAGGUUUUGAUAUGGGAUUUUUAAUAAUUUUAUUUCAUUCUAUGGAAAAGCAGAAAGAAGAACUGUCUGAAACCAUAUAGUGUGCUUUUCUUUGUUAGGUCUGUAAGGGUACACUGCAAUGAGGUUCUGCAUAAAAAUAAUGAUCUGCUUGAAAUUUAAUGUAUGCUAGAAAAUUCAAUACAGAAAUGAUACUCAUUAAAUCAAACAAACAACUCCCCAAACCAUUUCAUGCACACACAGGUCCCUUUACCCACACCGGAUAAAUGAGCAAAGAAUCUCCCUUGCUCAUCAGAAGAAUUAAUUUAUAUGCCUCAUUUGGAUAAGAGUUACUUGGCCUGAAGGCAUUAUAAGUACAACAAUACAUAUGUUUACAUCAAGUUCCUUCUUAAAUUUUUAGAAUUCAGCUAUAAAAGGGACUUCUGGGAAUCUAGAAAUUGGUAACUUCUGCCUACCCUGUAAGAGUCUGCAAAUUCCUCAUGUCACACAAUCCACACGGAUUCUCUGCAUCUAGCCCUGCAUGACCCCAAAAAAAAGUAAAGCAAGUUUUCUCUUCCUGUAGUCUAUCUUUUCAGCUAAGAUAGCAAUGAAUUUACAGGCUACCUAGCUUAUCCAGCUAAUGUAACAGUUCCUGGCAAUUCUUUCAAUUGGUAAUGAGCAUCAUCUCUAAUUCACCUGCUGAGACCUCACACUGUCUGCCUGCCUCCUUUCCCCUUGUAGGCAAAUAUGAACCUUUAUGCAAGCAUUGGUAAUUCAGCUUUAAAGCUCAGUAAUAUUGUUCCAGGGUCCUGAUUUGGAUCUUGUACUCUUCCCUUUCCAAUGCGAACUUCAAUAGGACCACUCUUGGUUUGUACUAUACCUUCAUAAACCUCACUGACAAGAUGUGCCUACAUUGGGGUCCUGGUUUGGGGUAGGAGUGCUUUUCUGAAGUGAGCGUCUCAGGGAGACCAGAGAUGAAUUAAAUUCCUUCUGAUAAAAUCAAUCGAGGAACUCACCUGCUCUAGUCAACGGUCCAUGGGACCAGAGUAAGGCUAGGCUACAGUAAAACCCAAAAUAUGUAUAUUUGUAUAUUGCUACCAAGACUAGGCCCUCAGAACUAAAUGUUUUACCUAUAAAACUCCUUCUAUUGGCAACUCUACCUCUUGCUAAUGGAAAUGUAGCCUCAACAGCCCUCAGAUGUUUUAAUUUCUGUGCUACCUUUGUGUGACUUGUUGUAACUAAAAUGGCUAGAGGCAAAAUACUCCGUUUGAUAAAUUUAGCUGCAGUUAACAUAAGCAGUUACUGCUUCUCUUUAUAUGUUGCUGAUGUAAAAGGGAUUUUUUAGGCUACUGAUGAUGUGAAUGCCCAUAAUUGUAGUUCUAAGAGUGUGUAGGUGUAGGACUUGUAAAAAGGGUUAUGUUAAUCUGAGAAAAUAGGUUUGAAAGAAAAAUUAGGAAAGCAUGAAUCCAUUCUCUUGUCCCAAAUCAAGAAUGACUGCAUGAAAACCAUUCCUGGUCAGUAUUUGUGGAACCUAAAAAGACCUAGAUUUUCUUAUUCUAUAAUUAAAAUUGUAAACACAGUAUGCAAAAUGUUACAAUUUUUUCCUAAUAAAUAAUUUACUUUCCCCAGGAGCACAGGAGUUAAAAGAUACAUAAGCAGAGUUAUAUAAAUCCUUUUGCAGCAUUUCCUUAUAUUAAGUGGCAAUUGGAAACUUUUCUGAAUAGGAUGCCUUAAUGGGUAUGCUGCUUUUAAAUUUUUGCAUGUUUGAAUUUCUUUUGGAAAAUUUCAGCCAAAGGGAUCCAGUAAUUUUUUUUUUUGUCAUUUCCUUUCAUCAUUCUCUCUCCUUUGCUCCUUACAAACAGUAGUACCAUCACGGGAAAGGUAUUUUUAUUUUUGCCUAUGCUAUAAUGUUCUAAAAUCAUGUUUUUAAAAGUCCCUAGUCUUCAAAGUUGUUUGAAAAGUUGUGGCGUAUUUUAUUCAUUUGCUUGGGUUUUUGUUUGGUUGGGUUUUUUUGUCAUGGCAACCUUUUUCGAUCUCUGUGAAAACUGAAACUGGUGAGUACUUGGUAGAGAAUUUUUAAAUUUCCAUAGUUAAAAUAGCCAAAGAAAUUCAAAUGCCAUUUUUCUUCAAGCUGGUUUUCUUCAGACAGAUCCCAAAAUCAUACUCAAGCUACACCUGUCCCAUCCGUAUAGAAUAAUUGGAUGUGGUUCUCAUACCUCAGAAAUAACCAUGCUGAAUAACUGUUGCUGCUACAAAUUACUUGAGUAUGCUUGAGGUCAGGGCUACAGAAGCUUCAGUAGCUUUCCCUUAAUUGAUUUCUGGUGAGCCUGGUCUCUUGAAGAAGAACAAAUAAUCUUUUCUUGUUGUGGGGAGUAGAGUAAAAGCAGAAGGGGGAAAUGUAAUAAAUUCAAAGUGUGGUUAGAGAGAGACUGGGUGAGAGUCAGAAAACUGGAGAAGGACCUGGUGAAAGCAUUUGGUAAUGAAUUAGAAAGAAAAGAAAGGAAAAAAAUACUGGAUUUUGCUGUGACAUUUUGAUGAGGAACAAUGGAUACCCUAUUAUUUGGAUUGGAGUAGGGGGAAUAAAUGGGAAAUUGGAAGUCAAUUGUUCAAAAACAGAAUGAUGAGAGCAGGAGUUAGAAUGGAAGAGUUAAAGAAUAAUCUGGGCUGGUCAUUAGUAACCUAUUUACACAACAAGUUGGGCAUCUCUUGAGUGAGGCAGAAUCCUAGGCCUGAGAAUUAUGUGAGAAAACCUGAAUUUAACAUCUGCCUUAGAUUCAGCCAUACAAAGCUAAUAACACUGACCUUUUUCACAGAUGUGUUUUGGGAAGAUGGGUCAUGAAGUUUUCAAAAAUUCUAUUGAGGAGCUCUGUAGAAAGAAUUGUGAGAGAGUUCUCAUAAUCACAUAUACUGCCUAUAUAAAAAUGUUUCAAGAGUGUGCAGAAGAGAGGCAAGACCCUUAAUUGGACCCACUCCAUUCUGCACAUCAUAUCAGAGAGGCUGAAAGAAUGAUGUGUGCCUCAUGGUUCUUUCCAUCUGUCUGUUCUCAAUCCAAUAAAUCUGGACACUAUGAUAUGAAGUGGACAGCAGUAGUGCAUCACCAGGUGGCACAUCACCUACCAGGUACCACUCCCAUGCCAGUGCCUAUCCCAGUGCUUCAUCUGUGGGCAGCACACAGACUGACUGGCUGACUGGCUGACUGGCUGACUGACUCAGAUCCAUGUGCCCUGGGAGCCUGAGGUGAAGUCACAGCACAGGAGCAAGAUCCCAGGUUGUGCUGUAGAGCUGCAGUGGGAGACAAUGGGAUGUGAGCCCCUUGUGUACCUGUUACUCUGUGAGAUUUGAUCAGUGUGCACUCAGAGUGUGAUUAUGCAACAAAAUGUUGUGGUAGUUCAUACAUUUCUGGAGAGGAUGGCAGGUGAAUGAUGAUGUCUCUACGGACAGUUCUGUCAUUUCCUAACUCUGAAUUCCAGCAGCUGAAUGGCAGCUUUAAUAAUGCCCUUUUAACAAAUUCUUCUGUGUAACAUUAAUUUGAAUUUUGAAGUCUAGCUGUAAUUUGAGACAUGUAUUUAUUGAGUUUGCUUCAAGAGAAUAGGAACCUGCUUGCAAUUAAUAGGGUGUCUUUUGACUUAUUCAGUGAGGAGUAUAACUUGCCCCAAUUCUUUGUUUCUCUCUCUGCAACAAUUCCCAUACAUUGCCAUCUUUCUAGAUAUUGUAAUAUGAGAAUUAGUCCUGCAGGAAGUAUUCCCCCCCUUCCCUCCAAGCCCUCUCUCUUCCACAGCAGGGUCUGAAAAUACUAAUAGCCAAAACAGCAUAUUCAUCUUCGUACAAGUGAAUCAAAGACUUGCAAGCAAUACAGGUAGGAAUAUCUCAAAUUCCUUUCUUCUUCCUUAUGUAACUUGCUCUCUUUCUUUAAGGCAAUAGCUCUUGGGUGUGGAAAGGGAAGAAAUAAGAAGAUUGGGUUGCACUCAAUCUUGGAAAAAAUGAAAAUCUUCUUGAAUUCAGAAAUGUGUUUUUAAAUUCUGUACACAUGGAGAUUGUGAAGAGCUGAAAAUAUCAUAGACAAUGAUGAAGUGAUAGUUUGAGCUAUUCCCAAAGGCAUUGGAGAUGGGAAGCCCAGAGUUUCAGGGUAUGCUGAAGUUGGGAGGGAAUUGUGCUAGUAGUGGUCCAUGACAUAGUUUCCUUAGGGCAUAAUUAAGCUGGCACUAUCAGGAACACCAGCUAUUCAAGAAAAUUGUAAUAAUAUUUUGGUCAAAUUAAAUAGGAUUUUUCUUUCAUAUUCUUCACCUCUUUGGAUUUCUAUGCUGAAGAGUUUGUAUCCUGUCCAGUGCUGCACACUCAAGUACUUGGGAAGCUAAGAAUUCUCUGAAUUGUCUUUAUUCAACUUUGAGGAAUGCUUUUAAUUUGUUUUCUUUGAGCACUGAGAUUUUUAAUAAAAGCUUUGAAGACGAAGUGUUCACAUCUAGUGUUUCAGUCAAGAUGUCAUGUAAUGCUCUUUUUUAAGACAUCAUGGUUUUAGCUAAAUUCCUUGGUGCCUGAUCAUAGCACAUAAAAGAGAAUCAACACCAAAAAAUACGUGGCCAUUUGAAUUUCAUUACCUUGAGAGACAGGGUAAGUAUUUUACAUUAUUUCUAUUUUUUUUCCCCCUAGUACAGCUCCUAGAACCUUAGAAAGAAAUGCCCAGUGAGCCACUGUAGUGAUAUACAGCAGCUGGUAUAAAGAGGUUAGUUUACUGCAUAUAAUUAACAGUGUGCAAAUAUGCUAUUUUUACCCUUGUAAAAGUUCAUGUGGCUCAUUGGCCAUGAAUCACUGCUGAGUCCAGGGAUCUGAUUUUAGACAACAUUCUUAGAACAUGAGUUGUCAUCUUUCAUUCAUUCUCUUUCCUUCAAGUAGUGAUGGUGACUUUGUGAAAGCAAGGAAUAAUCUGGACUUCAGCCUGGGACAUAGGGGACAGCCUGUGUUUUCACAAGACUCCCAACUUUGCACCUUCAAGCACCCAUUCUCAGACUGUCCCAUAAUGCUGUUUCAAGGCCAAGAACUGAUCCAACCAGUGUUUCCUUUUGAAUUUAUAACCUCAUCUGCUCCAGUGGGCUUCCAUGACCAGUUCCUGAAGUCACUUCUGCAGAGCUCUGUGUGGAUACUGUACAAGGUUGUUCUGUAGAGCAGAGUUUUGCUUCUUUGAAGGUUCAUAUACUGUAUCCCUUGAAGUAUUUGAGACAGAGGUGGUCAACUAAGAUUGUGAUCCCUGUGCAUUCUUGGAAUAGGGAAUGUAACUUUGCCAUUUAAGUACUGAAUGUCUAAUUUUGCCUCUAAAUUUCUUAUUGAUGAGUUUUCCAUCAUAAUCUCUAUUUUUGAGAAAAAAAAAAGAGUGUUUUAGGUAGUAAUGGAGUUAGAUAUAAAUAUAUGAUUCUAUAUGGAAAAUGGUAUCUCAAAAGCUACAACAUCUGAUCAGCUGGCAGCUGCUACAGUCUGGCUGUUGCUUUGGAAGUGCUGUGGGCUUGCCAGCUGUCUGUCUUGAUGGGUUGCUGUGGGUUUUUUGGGCACUCUUGAAUGAUUUCCUAAAAUAAUUUCAACAGGUACUGCUUACAUUUUGAUUUUCUAAUACUUGCUUCUGUUCUUUAUUUAAAAGGGUGUGCACAUCUAAUGUGUUCCAUCUGAAAUGUUACCAUAGCAAAAAUAUUUACUUUUAAGUCACACCCACCUAGAAAACAAGGGUGGGCUUUGGCAACUCCACUGAAGGUUGUGGGGAGCUGUGUCCCUCAGCUCAUCUGGGGUUGCCCAAGUCAGACAGAGGAGUCCAGUAGAGACAUCCCUGAACUCCAACACAUCCCAGGACUCCAACACAUCCUAGGACUCCAACAAGUACUCACCUGACUCCUUCCACCAAACUGCAGCUGGAGGCAAUGCAGCAGAAAUGAGCUAAGUUGUUCAUUUGCUAAUGAAACACAGUUAAUUCAUUUAACCAAGUGUCACUGGGAUAAACCUGCACUUCUUUGGGACCCCAGGCUGAAACCCUGUCACUGUCUGCCCUGUGCCAUUCUGCCAUACAGGGAGGCUUGGGGCUCUGUCAGGGAUUUCGCUACCUCGGGUUAUUCUGCCUUCACAGGCCUGCUUUGGCAGCUUGAAAACACUUUGACAUUUGAGGUUUAUCAUGAGAUUGAAUUAGGGUUCACUUUGAUAGUUAAAAUAUUGCCUGCUAAUUCAUGCUGGUCAAAAUAGCAGCUCUUUCAACACUUCACCAGAAAAAUAGAAGUGAUUAUUUUUGGUUGCCUGUGUGGUUAUACAAUUGAGCUGGAGGUGCACUGCAAUCUUUUCCUAGUUUGGUAUGCAGAACAAGAUUUGAGAAUUUUUCUUGUUUUUGUUUUGUUUAAUAUGGGCCUACUAGGAAAAACAAACAAGAAAAAAUUAUAGCAGAAUAUAAGACAGACAUCUGCAAACCCUUACAAGUUUUUUUAAGUGCAAAAUUUAACCAAAACCCACUGAUAUUUUCAGAUAUCAGAGCCAGUAUUGAGACAACUUACUAUUUGAGGACAGUGAAACAGACAUUUCUUAAAAUCCAGCUUUGUAAGUGUUUUUCUCCAACUGUGAAAAUAUUUUGUUCAGAACUGUCUGGGUGACCUUUUGCCCCAUGAUAUAAAUAGUUUAAGGCUAUUUUGUUUAUCUAAGAUAUUAAAAAUUAUUUUAAUGAAAAACUAUGUGAAUUUUGAACUGGAUUUUUUCUGGUCGUUUAGAAGAAGAAAUAUUUCAGAAAAAUUAGAAAUGGACAGUGCUUUCCAGAACUUUUUAACCAUAUAUUCUUCUGUAGCCUAUUUUUGACCAAGUUUUCUAUAGACAAAUUGUGAGCAUGCCAUCCCUUGUGGCCUGACCUGUGAUUUUGCUUGCAGAAAAUGCUUUGUAGGUGAGGCACAGACUAAAAACUGGGAUUUGCAGUAAAAAAAACCCCAAAAAACAUACCAAGCCCCAUUUGUUUUCACCAGCUAUAUAAUAGUUAUUACUCCCUUUCUAAUGCAGUGUAUAAAAUUCUCUAUUAAAAUUAUUGGUGUCAAGAAGAGGGAAUGUGAAGAAUUUACUAAUAGAAGGAAACCUGCUAGUAAAGUUGCUGUCCUUGGAUAUAAUGUUUGAAUACCAUCAAAAAAGAGCAGAUAUGUUUGAACAUGAGUCUUUCAGGUGGCUGAAAGGCCCUACUUUUAAGCUGCUUGGAAUAAAAAAAGAGGAGGCCACACCUUCCCAAUCAAUUCUAUAAUGUUCUUCUCAGUCUAUCCCAUAAAUUGUAAAUAUUUAGGUGCUCAAAAAAAAAAAAAGGAGAAGAGAGACCCUUAAUUCAUCCUUAAAUAAAAAACCCUACUUUUUUUUGCUUUGUUCAGGAUCACAAAGAUUUACAUUUCUGAUUCAAAUAUAUAAUUUUUCCACCUGAUUUUUAUUUGCCAUUGAAAUUGAAAAUAAUUCACUUGAAUAGAGAGAAUCAUGGAUUUCCAAGUUUGUAUGGGAAAUUAAUUUCUCAAUAGGAAGGAUAGAUAGCACAGCAGAUAGCCCAGAUUAUGCCUGAUUUCAGAAUUAACAGGAAGAAAAAUAUGGGAAUGAAGCUUAAAAAGGGCCAUGAUUCUUCCAUCACUGAAAUUUGCACUGUCCUUAGGAUGGCCUGGGUAAAAAAAAUUUCCUAUCAAAUCCAUCUAUGAUAAUAUUUAGAAAUUUAAUAAAGUACAUUUGCAACUCAGAAAGUUCCUUUAUAACUGCAUUGAAAAAACCACAUAUCUCCACCACAGUUACAAAUAAUGUGAGAUUAUUCAAUUUCUAAUUCUUGUUCUGAAGGAUUAAUAGCACCAAACCCUAUCAAAUAAAAAUGAUUUAACCUGUUUAAUACUGGAGAUUUAAUGAAUUAUUUAUGAAAGUAAUUUCAUCUAGACUGUGCUAAGUAGCAGAAUUGUGUUUUGCUUUUUGUUUGUUUACCACUUUUUCUUCUCUUUUCAUAGAACAGCUUAUGUAAAGUAGUUCUAGAGGAAGCUUUAAAAGCAGUCUUGACUUUGUGCCACCAUCCACUGAUGAAAAGAAUGGAUAUGACCAUGGAUAAAUAAAUUCCUCUGUUACUCUGCGUGUUGUGCUUUUGUAGCACUAUCAAGUUAGUCAAACCACAUUUACAGUUAUUUGCUGCAGAAUGAAGAGUAGAGUGUUGUUUCUCCUUGAAAACUUCUGUAUCCUUUCAGUAUAUCUGAGACGAACCUUUGUCACAACAUGCCCAUAUUGUUGAAUGUUCCUCGUGAACAAAAUUAACACGGAGUCUAAAGUGCCCUCCAGUUUUGCAAAACAAGACUGAUGUCAAAUCACAUUUUGUAACCAUGCUUCAUUAAUGCACCUCUCCUACACAGACUGCAGUUUCAAAAUGGUGCUUAUCAAUAUCAAAUCUGGUUAAAUCAAAUGUUAAAACACAGCAUGGGUGUACUGGCAUUUGUCUUACAUUCAUGGCAAAGUUCCUUGUGUAAGAAAGAGCAAAAGACAAAAGAAAAUGAGGAAUUGAAUACAAGAGUUAAGAGGAAGACAACCAACCGAGGCCCACUACCUGCAGAAUAUGGGCAGUCAUACAGCUAUACAGAGUGUAUAUACAAUGGCAUGCAGGACAAAAAGUGAAGAAUAAUUGUAGAAACUACUUAUUUUGUGGCAUGUUUUGGUAGUGGGGAGCUACAGGGAUGACUCCUCUCUAGAGAAGAAUCUGCCAGAAGCUUUCCCCAUGCUUGGUGGAGCCAGUGCCAGCUGGCUCCAAGACAAGCUGCUGGCCAAGGUGGUAGAGCCUCUGGUAUAAGAGAUUCAAGAAGGAGAAGAGAAAGCAGUAAGACCAUGUGAGUGAAACAGCCUCUGGACACCAAAGUCAGUGUGGAAGGAAGGGAAGGAGCUGCUCCAGGGGCCAGAGCAGAGAUUCCCUGGCAGCCCAUGGGGAAACCUGUGGUGAGGCAGCUGUGCCCCUGCAGCCCACAGACAUCCACAGUGGAGCAGAGAUCCACCUGCUGCCCCUGGAGGGUCUCAUCCCAGAGCAGCUGGAUGCCCAAAAGAUGCUGUGACCAUGUGGGAAGCCUUCAAUGGAGCAGGUCUUGGCAGGACCUGUGGACUGAUGGAGAGACGAGCCCACACUGGAGCAGGUUUGCUGGCAGGACUUGUGAUCCCAUGGGGCGAACCCACACUGGAGCAGUUUGUUCCUCAAGGAUUGCACACUGUGGAAGGGAUCCACGGGGGAGCAGGAGAAGAGGAGUGGAAGAGACAACCUGAUAAACUGACCACAGCCCCCAUUCCCCAUGUUUCCUUCUUUCCCUGGUGAAGAGGUAGAAAAAACUCAGGAAUGAAGUUGAGCCUGGGAAGAAGGGAGGGGUGGAGAGAUGAUGUUUCAAGGUUUGAUUUUAUUUCUCAUUGUCCUACUCUGAUUUUAUUGAUAAUAAAUUAAUUUUUCCACAAGUCCAGUCUGUUUUGCCUGUGGCAGUCAUCUCACCCUGUCCCUAUUUAAAUCCACAAGAAUUUUGUUGUAUUUUCUCUCCUCUGACCAGCUGAGGAUGGUAAGGAUAGUGCAGUUUGGUUUUGGUGGGCACCUGGCAUUCAGUGAGGGUUAGCAGGUGUUCUUUUAAAAACUACAAAUAGGAAUAUCAGCUAUCCAGAUUGACUUUUCCUGUGCUAACAGGAUCUGUUCUUUUUAGACUUGUCAGACCAUCCUUGUUACAUCAUGGUUCAACCUAAUUUUUGGUGUUUUCAUCUUAAGACUGUUCAUUAAAAUAAUCCCUGAACACAGAUUAACAACUUGUUAUGAUUUUGGCCUGAUCAGCUACUUUUGUCUCUACAGAUACAGUGAAUAUUGGCAAAGUAAUACAUAUAUAAUAAAUUGCAGGAUCAGAUCAUUAAUUGCACUUUUUAUGCCUCUAAUAUGUUAUCUACUUCAUCACUCUUCUACAAACCUAAGAACCUUGGCUAGAAAAAGUUUAAUGUUCCAAGCCUCUAAGCUCUAAAUAUCUACCUAUAUAAAUUCUUUAAAUAUCUGCCUUAUCUUUAUAACAUGAAACUAGAUUGUUCCUCAGCUAAGGAAUUUUACUUGCAAAACAAGCUGGUCUUAGUAAAGAGGGACAUUGUUCAGUCAUGCAAAAGGGAUGGCUUAAAACCUAUUUAUUAGCACUGCAGGGUAAAAAAUGUGGACUUGGUAUCUCUUGACAAUAUAAUGUCCUGGAUGUCCAGCAGGGCCACGCAACUCAGCUUCUUAAUCUUUAACUGUCUGAAAGAUGGAAAAGUAAGCAGUGUUGGUUUUGAUAGGAAAAAUACCAGUUGGGUGCUUUUUUUUUAAAAUAAGAAACAUGUGAAAUACAUCUUCUGUAAUUUUCUUUUCCUCAAACCUCCUUCCAGUUAGAAAAGCCUAGUAACUUUGAUAAACCAUUUUGUCUCCAAAAUAUUCCAGCAUUUGAGCAUAGGUUUACCUCCCCUCUCCACCAAAACAUAAAAUACUGCAGCACAAGAAUUUUUAAUGCUUUCUGGGACUGUCUGCAGUAUUCCCAGCAGGAAUGUUCCUCAGGUAAUGCUCCUCUCAAAGCAGGUAAUGUUCCUCUCAAAAAAUUAUAGUGAUGAGGAAUUUGAUCAAAACCCCUUACUUUUUUACCUUAAGGGUAUAUCUGAAUGUGUAUUGCAACGUACAUACAUAUAUAUGUAAUACACACACAUAUUAAAACAGGCUGAAACUAUGACUGGAGACACAUUUCCAUAUGUUUGAAUUUGUAUAUUGAUAAUGCAAAUUCAUAUAUAUUAUUUAUUCUAUGCUAAUGAAACUCAGAAAAAAAAAAAUUCUCAGUGCCUUUAUGGUUUGUCAUAUACAAUCGGAGUGUUUCAUGGGUAUUUGAUGUUGACACCACUCCAGAAAGUGAACAUAUCUAUUUUAUAGGAAAAUUAUGUGAUCCAGAAGACUGUAUUAUAUUAAAUUUUUCUCCUGCUUUGUGGUUCCUAGGACUUGAAUUUUGGUGGUUUAGGUUAAAUUAAACUGCUUUUCAUAGUGAAUUCUGAUGUUGCUGUGAGUCAUAAGAAUUUUUUAAAAAUCUCUGCUGAAGAUCAAUGCAAGUCAGAAACAUUUCCAAUUGCUGUAGUUUAUCUUGCUUCUUUCCCUGGAUGCUUUUCAUAGACACGUGGAUUGAAGCAGGAAUGCUAUGGUAGAAAACUGAAACCUCCAUAACUAGAAGAUAGGAAAGCAGAAGAUGAUGAAUGAUGGGAGAGGUAUUGUAAAGGGAAAUUUUUCAUGGUGUUCAAGGUGGAGCUCAGAGCAAUGCCUUUUAUUUCAGUAAAAAAAAUUAAAAAACAGUCAAAUUCAGGUGAAGUUGGAGGUGGGGAUCAAAGUAGGUAGAUGGGACAAUAGGAAUAGGGGUGAGCUGUUCUACUGCAGCUGAAAGCCUUGAAAUUCUCCAAAUAGAUUUCCCAUCUUGAUAAUGAGAGGUGAGUAAACUUAGGUCAAAUUAAAGAUUCACGAUAUUUUGAGGGUAUUGAACUGAAGAAAAUAAUUGAAAAUCUCUGGAUAUUCCACUACUAGCUUACAUAUCCUAUAAUAAUUUCCCUUUGCAAACAUAGUAUUCAAAAAGUGAGAUAAAAGUUAAAGUUCAGAUAAAUGUGAAACCACCUUUUUUUUUUUACCUUAAAAAGGAAUCUUUUGUUUGAGAUGUCACUGCAGUACAAUUUAUCCUGCAUUUAUUAUAAUGUGGAUUCAGUCACAUUUCAUUUUUUACUUCCGAGAGUUAAUUAGUGUUUUAAAGUCUUUUGUAUACUUACUCCCCCAUGGCUGCAUAAUUACAGUCUAUAAUGAAUAAUCUCUGAGUCUCUGAGUUUUGAUUGGCUACCUGGCUUUCACAGUUUAACAGAUAAACCUGAAAAUAGAAAGCACACUAUUCCCACACUUUAGAAAAAAAAUUAGUUUCAUCUAGUUUAGGCCAUCUGAAAGCUAAGUGUCUUAUCUACCCUUCUUGAUAAGGCACCUCCUGUGACUGAGGAAAUUUAGGUAAUAGAUGGAACAGUUUGCCUCCAUCAGCAUCACUUUGCACACCCGAAUCAGAGCAUCACAGGAGAGAAGACCCUGCUGUCUACUGGAGAAAGAUCAGUAGUCUUCAAUAUCAAAAUCAUAUCAUUAUCAUAUAAUUUUAUCCACUAGUCAUGAAAAGGACCUUUAGCUUCUUCAGAUUAGAUCUCGUUGACUGCAGCUCCAGGUAUUCCCUGUUCUGCUGGAAAGACUGAAACCUUUGUAUGUCUGUAUAUAUCUUGAGUAUGUAGUUAAAUACUUGCUAGAAUAUCUCCCUAGAAUAAGGACAUUCAAGCACGUAUUUAAGUCUGGGGCUUUUCUGGUUUAAGGUCCAGAGUGGAAGUGGUGUGUUUUUUACAGAGCUGCUUCUCAGAACUAGAGAACAGUCGAAUAUUCAUGCCCAAAGAAAGGAAGCCUGAUUUAGGGAAUGUCUCAAGAGGCAGCCAUGCAGGGUGCAGUGCUCUGUGCAGUUCUGCAGUGAGAGGUGCUGUGCUAGAUGUUAUAUAUUAUUCCAAUUUGUGUGAGGUGGAUUCCUGGCCUGAGACUGGGCAAGGCUUUUAGUGGCCUUUUGCUCUGAUCAGAGUAGUGGUGGAUGGACUGAUCUGUCUGUCUGGAAAUGGGGUUGUUUAUAUUAAAAGUACUUCAAGGAUAAUUUGUAAAUAGGUUUAGGCAAACCAAGAGCAGUUUUUAUUCAAUAUUAUUGCUUUUAUUAAUGUGAAAGCUACAGGUCUCAUCGAGUACUGUUACUGCCUUUGUGUGAUCCGUGGAAAUUACUGAAAAUAUUGCUAGCUGAAAAUGACUUAAAUGAAUGGGCUGAGACAGGAAUUUGUAAUUUGUUUCACUGUGAAAGCAUUUUAUUAUUGUUAAAAUAUUUAAGUAUAUAUUUAUUUUUUGAUGGAAAUGCUUAGGCAUUUAUUUUAAUUUUUUCCUUGAAGAAAAUUAAAUUAUUAAUUUAAUUUAAUUUAAAAUUAAAUUGAAUUCUGUAAUUAAACCACUUUCUCUUUAACAUAUUUUUAUUGGACAUUUAAAAAAUAAAAUUGAAUAUUUAGAUUUAAAAUGUUUUUAAAUGGUUUACAAAUCUGAGUGGCACCCUUAUCUUAAACAAGUGUAUCACCAUGCAAAGAAAAUCAACUACUUCAGCCUUCAUUUUGGAGUUGUUUUGUAUUCUGAGAAUUGUGGAGAAGUGCAGCUUAUUUCAAACCACAGUUUAUGCUCUAGAGGGACUAUGAAGUUUUUCAUUUAGUUGCUUCACCUAUUUUUUUCUUCUUUUAAGAAUUGUUUUAGUGGGCGAUUCUUUGGCAAAAGAACUAAUUAAAAAGAAAUAUAUUGAUAAUACUACUUAUUCAAGUUUUAUCUUUUACUUUUUACUAGUAAACUGUGAAGAAAUUUUAAAAGGACUGUAUUGUGGAUUUUGGGUUUUUUAAAUUACUGAUAACCACAUACUCAACUGACAGCUGUAAUGUGAUGAAGACCUUAAGGAGGGAUUGUGAGGCUGAAAGACCCUUACUUUUAAAAAUAUUCCAGUUUGUGUCAUAAAAAAAAUUACUUCCACUUCUGAACCUUGUUUUUACUUAAACUUGCAUCACUGUAGAUACAAAAAUGUUACAUGGCAGAAUAUGUUUACACACAAAAAAGAUAAAACUUAAUAAAGAACGAAAACAAUCAGUGUGGAGAUCUCUG
This is a long non-coding RNA of Passer domesticus (house sparrow), 14158 nucleotides long. RefSeq lists it as uncharacterized. NCBI's taxonomy places the organism in Eukaryota, Metazoa, Chordata, Aves, Passeriformes, Passeridae. The transcript is spliced from 3 exons. The record is from RefSeq and is a predicted model, not a curated record.